Parus major (Great Tit) is the source of this 580-nucleotide long non-coding RNA. The record is from Ensembl. NCBI's taxonomy places the organism in Eukaryota, Metazoa, Chordata, Aves, Passeriformes, Paridae.
UUUUGAGAGGGGUGGGAGGAAGGAUGGGGGAACACCUCUCCCUCUCCCUCUUGGGGACAUCAGCCUUCCUCUCACAGAGAAAUGCCUCUCCUUGACAGGUUUUCCAUCCUUAGUGCUCAGUAUAUAUUGUGCAGAGUCAAGUGGAGAAGUGAUGGAUCUGCACAUUGAAACUUCAGUGCAAAGGAAGUGGAACAAACUCUUUCUGAGUCCAACUCCUUCAAUUUCAGAGGUCUUCCAGCAGCCAAUGGUGCCAUUCCCCUGAAUUCUGAAGAAUGAUGCCAUGUUCAACCAACUGCAGAAGCAAGAGGUGGAAGAGUGGUGCUGUGGGAACGGAUUUGAAGGGAGCUUGGAAGAGACAGAAUUGCAGCUUGCUUGUAGGUGUGGCAAGGAGAGGAGGCUGCAUUACCAGCCAUGGACCUUUUCUUCAGAGUCGAGAUUAUUAUUUAGUCAGAAUCAUGAUCCCUUCUGUCCUUGGUGCAGAACGCAGUUGAAGCCUUUCCCAACAAGUAAGUUAUUUAAAGCUUGAGGAUAUUUUAGGGAACAUUAUUUCCCAUGGAGUUCAGUUUUUCUGGAAGGUGAG